GACGAACGCUGGCGGCGUGCUUAACACAUGCAAGUCGAACGGAAAGGCCCUGCUUUUGUGGGGUGCUCGAGUGGCGAACGGGUGAGUAACACGUGAGUAACCUGCCCUUGACUUUGGGAUAACUUCAGGAAACUGGGGCUAAUACCGGAUAGGAGCUCCUGCUGCAUGGUGGGGGUUGGAAAGUUUCGGCGGUGGGGGAUGGACUCGCGGCUUAUCCGCUUGUUGGUGGGGUAGUGGCUUACCAAGGCUUUGACGGGUAGGCGGCCUGAGAGGGUGACCGGCCACAUUGGGACUGAGAUACGGCCCAGACUCCUACGGGAGGCAGCAGUGGGGAAUAUUGCACAAUGGGCGGAAGCCUGAUGCAGCAACGCCGCGUGCGGGAUGACGGCCUUCGGGUUGUAAACCGCUUUCGCCUGUGACGAAGCGUGAGUGACGGUAAUUGGUAAAGAAGCACCGGCUAACUACGUG
RNAcentral lists this ribosomal RNA (468 nucleotides) under uncultured bacterium. Its description in RNAcentral is "partial 16S ribosomal RNA". It matches the Rfam family "Bacterial small subunit ribosomal RNA", at positions 28 to 507 of the family's 1533-position model. The record is from RNAcentral.